GAACGCUAGCGGCAGGCUUAACACAUGCAAGUCGAGGGGCAUCGGGAGUAGCAAUACUUGCCGGCGACCGGCGCAAGGGUGCGUAACGCGUGAGCAACAUGCCCGUAUCAGGGGGAUAAUCCAUGGAAACGUGGUCUAAUACCCCAUAGUAAUUAUGUAAGGCAUCUUAUAUAAUUUAAAGCUUUGGUGGAUACGGAUUGGCUCGCGUGACAUUAGCUGGAUGGUAAGGUAACGGCUUACCAUGGCUACGAUGUCUAGGGGUUCUGAGAGGAAGGUCCCCCACACUGGAACUGAGACACGGUCCAGACUCCUACGGGAGGCAGCAGUGAGGAAUAUUGGACAAUGGAUGGAAAUCUGAUCCAGCCAUGCCGCGUGCAGGAAGAACCGGCCCUAUGGGUUGUAAACUGCUUUUGUAUGGGAGCAAUAAGGGCUACGUGUAGUCCGAUGAGAGUACCAUACGAAUAAGCACCGGCUAACUCCGUGCCAGCAGCAGC
RNAcentral lists this ribosomal RNA (494 nucleotides) under uncultured bacterium. RNAcentral's name for it is "bacterial SSU rRNA". It matches the Rfam family "Bacterial small subunit ribosomal RNA", at positions 31 to 518 of the family's 1533-position model. The record is from RNAcentral.